This 1414-nucleotide ribosomal RNA is filed under the name Solenocera melantho. RNAcentral describes it as "16S ribosomal RNA". The stretch from base 653 to 1414 matches the Rfam family "Archaeal large subunit ribosomal RNA", at positions 1423 to 2919 of the family's 2987-position model. The record is from RNAcentral. Lineage: Eukaryota; Metazoa; Arthropoda; Malacostraca; Decapoda; Solenoceridae.
AGAGUUAAUCUUGCUUAAGUUAUUAAGUGUAUUUAAGAGUGGAGAGCAUAAUAAAAUUAUUUAUAAUUAAUUAAUAUAUUAAGUAGAAUGAAUCGAAAUGUAUUUGUUUAGAGCUAUAGAGAAUAGUACUGUGAGGGAAAGAUGAAAUAGUUUGAAAAAUAAGUGAGUGAAAAGUAGGUCUAUAAAUUCGUACCUUGUGUAUCAGGGAGAACUAAAAUUAUUUUAAUAUUUAAAGGAUCCCGAAAAAAAAAGAGCUAAUUCAAAAAUAAAGUUUUCGUGUUAAUGAGAUUUUAAAUUUUGUUUUAGUGGUGAAAUGUUAGUCGAUUUUUUAUAUCUGGUUAUCAGUGAAUUAAAUUUAAUUUAAGCAUUUAGUUGGUUUAAAUGAACUAAUAAAUGGUAAAGAAUAGGAGGGAAGAGCUUCUUAUUCUAUAAUGGUUAAGUUGUAAUUAUUAUUAUAAUAUGGUUAUUAAAUUAGGCUUAAAAACAGCUAUAUUUAUAAAGCGUUCUAGUUAAUAUAUUUAAUUUUAAUAUUUAUAUAAGUAUUCAGCGAAUUGUAAUUGAUAUUUUUAUAUAACAUGAGUUUUAAAGUUAUACUGGUUUUAUUAGUAGAGUUAUUUUGUAAGGGAAGUAUAUUUAAAUAAUACAUAAAUUAUUAUAGGGUGAAUGUAUAAAUAAGGAAUUCGGCAAAUAUUACUUUUGCCUGUUUAUCAAAAACAUGUCUGUAUGAUUGUUAUAUAGAGUCUGGCCUGCCCACUGAUAUUAUAUUAAAGGGCCGCGGUAUUUUGACCGUGCGAAGGUAGCAUAAUCAUUAGUCUUUUAAUUGGAGGCUUGUAUGAAUGGUUGGACAAAAAGUUAACUGUCUCGUUUAUAAAAAUUGAAUUUAACUUUUAAGUGAAAAGGCUUAAAUGAACUGGGGGGACGAUAAGACCCUAUAAAGCUUUACAAUAAGUUAAUUAAAUUACAAAUUAUUAGUUUAACUUAAUUUAAUUAGUAUUUGUUUCGUUGGGGCGACGAGAAUAUAAAUUAUAUAACUGUUCUUUUAGGUAUAUAACAAGAUUAAUUGGAGAAAGAUUGAUCCUUUAAUAAAGAUUAAAAGAUUAAGUUACUUUAGGGAUAACAGCGUAAUCUUCUUUGAGAGUCCAUAUCGACAAGAAGGGUUGCGACCUCGAUGUUGAAUUAAGGUACCCUUAUGAUGCAGCAGUUAUAAAGGGAGGUCUGUUCGACCUUUAAAUCCUUACAUGAUUUGAGUUCAGACCGGCGUAAGCCAGGUCGGUUUCUAUCUCUCAGGACAAGGAAAUUUACUUUAGUACGAAAGGAUUAAGUAAUUGAAAUAAUUUUUAUAGAGAGAAUAAUUUUAACAUUUACUGUAUUGGCAGAAUUAUGCAUUGGACUUAGGAUCCAAUUAUGUGGGUGU